UACGUAGGCAGCGAGCGUUGUUCGGAGUUACUGGGCGUAAAGAGUGCGUAGGCGGUUUUCUAAGUUUGGGGUGAAAUCUCCCGGCUUAACUGGGAGGGUGCGCCGAAGACUGGAAGGCUUGAGUAUGGGAGAGGUAAGCGGAAUUCCAGGUGUAGCGGUGAAAUGCGUAGAUAUCUGGAGGAAUACCGGUGGCGAAGGCGGCAUCCUGGACCAUUACUGACACUGAACCGCGAAAGCUAGGGGAGCAAACGGG
RNAcentral lists this ribosomal RNA (253 nucleotides) under uncultured bacterium. Its description in RNAcentral is "partial 16S ribosomal RNA". It matches the Rfam family "Bacterial small subunit ribosomal RNA", at positions 524 to 776 of the family's 1533-position model. The record is from RNAcentral.